AGAGUUUGAUCCUGGCUCAGGAUGAACGCUGGCGGCGUGCUUAACACAUGCAAGUCGAACGGAGAUAUCAUUUUCGAAGCGAUUAGUUUACUAAGAGUGGAGAUGUUGAUAUCUUAGUGGCGGACGGGUGAGUAACGCGUGGGUAACCUGCCUUACACUGGGGGAUAACACUUAGAAAUAGGUGCUAAUACCGCAUAAUGAGAGGAGACGCAUGUCUUCUGUCUGAAAACUCCGGUGGUGUAAGAUGGACCCGCGUCUGAUUAGCCAGUUGGCGGGGUAACGGCCCACCAAAGCGACGAUCAGUAGCCGGCCUGAGAGGGUGAACGGCCACAUUGGGACUGAGACACGGCCCAAAACUCCUACGGGAGGCAGCAGUGGGGAAUAUUGGACAAUGGGGGGAACCCUGAUCCAGCGACGCCGCGUGAGUGAAGAAGUAUUUCGGUAUGUAAAGCUCUAUCAGCAGGGAAGAAAGAAAUGACGGUACCUGACUAAGAAGCCCCGGCUAACUACGUGCCAGCAGCCGCGGUAAUACGUAGGGGGCAAGCGUUAUCCGGAUUUACUGGGUGUAAAGGGAGCGUAGACGGCAGUGCAAGUCUGAAGUGAAAGGCGGGGGCCCAACCCCCGGACUGCUUUGGAAACUGUGCUGCUGGAGUGCAGGAGAGGUAAGCGGAAUUCCUAGUGUAGCGGUGAAAUGCGUAGAUAUUAGGAGGAACACCAGUGGCGAAGGCGGCUUACUGGACGGCAACUGACGCUGAGGCCCGAAAGCGUGGGGAGCAAACAGGAUUAGAUACCCUGGUAGUCCACGCUGUAAACGAUGAAUAUUAGGUGUUUGGCGGGCAAAGCCCGUCGGUGCCGCCGCACACGCAAAUAAGUAUUCCACCUGGGGAGUACGUUCGCAAGAAUGAAACUCAAAGGAAUUGACGGGGACCCGCACAAGCGGUGGAGCAUGUGGUUUAAUUUGAAGCAACGCGAAGAACCUUACCAAGUCUUGACAUCCCUUUGAAUGGAGAGUAAAGUUUCCAGGCCUACGGGACAAAGGAGACAGGUGGUGCAUGGUUGUCGUCAGCUCGUGUCGUGAGAUGUUGGGUUAAGUCCCGCAACGAGCGCAACCCUUAUUCUUAGUAGCCAGCAGGUAAAGCUGGGCACUCUGGGAAGACUGCCAGGGAUAACCUGGAGGAAGGUGGGGAUGACGUCAAAUCAUCAUGCCCCUUAUGAUUUGGGCUACACACGUGCUACAAUGGCGUAAACAAAGGGAGGCGAAGGAGUAAUCUGGAGCGAACCCCAAAAAUAACGUCUCAGUUCGGACUGUGGUCUGCAACCCGACCACACGAAGCUGGAAUCGCUAGUAAUCGCGAAUCAGAAUGUCGCGGUGAAUACGUUCCCGGGUCUUGCACUCACCGCCCGUCA
RNAcentral lists this ribosomal RNA (1407 nucleotides) under uncultured bacterium. Its description in RNAcentral is "bacterial SSU rRNA". It matches the Rfam family "Bacterial small subunit ribosomal RNA". The record is from RNAcentral.